This 253-nucleotide ribosomal RNA is filed under the name uncultured bacterium. RNAcentral describes it as "partial 16S ribosomal RNA". It matches the Rfam family "Bacterial small subunit ribosomal RNA", at positions 524 to 776 of the family's 1533-position model. The record is from RNAcentral.
UACGUAGGGUGCAAGCGUUGUUCGGAAUUACUGGGCGUAAAGGGCGCGUAGGCGGGCCCGUAUGUCGAUUGUGAAAGCCCUGGGCUCAACCCGGGAAUGGCAGUCGAAACUGCGGGUCUUGAGUGCCUGAGAGGAUGGCGGAAUUCCCGGUGUAGAAGUGAAAUUCGUAGAUAUCGGGAAGAACACCUGAGGCGAAGGCGGCUGUCUGGCGGUGCACUGACGCUGAGGCGCGAAAGCGUGGGUAGCAAACAGG